Molecule: small nuclear RNA, 191 nt
Organism: Jaculus jaculus (lesser Egyptian jerboa)
Lineage: Eukaryota; Metazoa; Chordata; Mammalia; Rodentia; Dipodidae
Gene: U2
Rfam family: U2 spliceosomal RNA
About the family: U2 is a small nuclear RNA (snRNA) component of the spliceosome (involved in pre-mRNA splicing). Complementary binding between U2 snRNA (in an area lying towards the 5' end but 3' to hairpin I) and the branchpoint sequence (BPS) of the intron results the bulging out of an unpaired adenosine, on the BPS, which initiates a nucleophilic attack at the intronic 5' splice site, thus starting the first of two transesterification reactions that mediate splicing.
Source: Ensembl
GUUGCUGCUCGGCCUUUUGGCUAAGAUCAAGUGUAGGAUCUGUUCUUAUCAGUUUAAUAUCUGAUACGUCCUCUAUCUGAGGACAAUAUACUAAAUGGAUUUUUGAAAGUAGGAGUGGGAAAAGGAGCUUGCUCCAUCCACUCCACGCGUGGGCCUGGUGUUGCAGUACUUCCAGGAAUGGUGCGCCCCCU